ACAAGCACGGUUGGGAUGAUGGAGAGUAAGGACAUUCAGAUCUGCGAAGCUUAUGGUCCCGUAACUUUUAAAAUGGAUUGGGUGUUUGAGUUUGUUGACCUGAAUGUCUUUCUCUUCAUCAAAACUGCCUC
This 131-nucleotide microRNA precursor is filed under the name Brassica napus (rape). RNAcentral describes it as "miR6028 stem-loop (bna-MIR6028)". The record is from miRBase by way of RNAcentral. Lineage: Eukaryota; Viridiplantae; Streptophyta; Magnoliopsida; Brassicales; Brassicaceae.